AGGAUGGAAAGAUGAGGAAGACUAAAGAUCAGUGUCAGUCUCUGACUCCAAGGGCUUUAUGCUCCACAGGAUGAGAGAGUUCAUUCUUGGCUCGCUAGUCCCCCAGCAUGGUGGCAUUUGUUGCAGCUCACUGAAGGAGAGACUUUUGAUCUGUAAGGUUUUGAAAUAGAAACCGUGUCUCAGAAGAGAUCUUGGCAAUCCCAAAGGUAAUCCC
RNAcentral lists this long non-coding RNA (214 nucleotides) under Canis lupus familiaris (dog). Its description in RNAcentral is "lncRNA (ENSCAFG00000050560.1)". Lineage: Eukaryota; Metazoa; Chordata; Mammalia; Carnivora; Canidae. The record is from RNAcentral.